Molecule: ribosomal RNA, 253 nt
Filed under: uncultured bacterium
Lineage: Bacteria
Description: partial 16S ribosomal RNA
Rfam family: Bacterial small subunit ribosomal RNA
Source: RNAcentral
UACGGAGGAUGCAAGCGUUAUCCGGAAUGAUUGGGCGUAAAGCGUCCGCAGGUGGCUAUGUAAGUCUGCUGUUAAAGAGUGAGGCUCAACCUCAUAAGAGCAGUGGAAACUACAUGGCUAGGGUGCGUUCGGGGCAGAGGGAAUUCCUGGUGUAGCGGUGAAAUGCGUAGAGAUCAGGAAGAACACCGGUGGCGAAAGCGCUCUGCUAGGCCGCAACUGACACUCAUGGACGAAAGCUAGGGGAGCGAAUGGG